RNAcentral lists this ribosomal RNA (305 nucleotides) under uncultured bacterium. Its description in RNAcentral is "bacterial SSU rRNA". It matches the Rfam family "Bacterial small subunit ribosomal RNA", at positions 335 to 657 of the family's 1533-position model. The record is from RNAcentral.
GUGCCUACGGGAGGCAGCAGUGGGGAAUAUUGCACAAUGGGGGAAACCCUGAUGCAGCGACGCCGCGUGAGCGAUGAAGUAUUUCGGUAUGUAAAGCUCUAUCAGCAGGGAAGAAAAUGACGGUACCUGACUAAGAAGCCCCGGCUAACUACGUGCCAGCAGCCGCGGUAAUACGUAGGGGGCAAGCGUUAUCCGGAUUUACUGGGUGUAAAGGGAGCGUAGACGGUCCUGCAAGCCAGAUGUGAAAGCCCGGGGCCCAACCCCGGGACUGCUCUUGGAACUGCGUGGCUGGUGUGCAGGAGGGG